UACGAAGGGGGCUAGCGUUGUCCGGAUUUAUUGGGCGUAAAGAGCUCGUAGGCGGCUUGUCGCGUCGACCGUGAAAACUUGGGGCUCAACCCUAAGCCUGCGGUCGAUACGGGCAGGCUCGAGUUCGGUAGGGGAGACUGGAAUUCCUGGUGUAGCGGUGAAAUGCGCAGAUAUCAGGAGGAACACCGGUGGCGAAGGCGGGUCUCUGGACAGUUCCUGACACUGAGGCACGAAGGCCAGGGGAGCAAACGGG
Molecule: ribosomal RNA, 253 nt
Filed under: uncultured bacterium
Lineage: Bacteria
Description: partial 16S ribosomal RNA
Rfam family: Bacterial small subunit ribosomal RNA
Source: RNAcentral